CCUACGGGAGGCAGCAGUGGGGAAUAUUGCGCAAUGGGCGAAAGCCUGACGCAGCAACGCCGCGUGAGGGAUGACGGCCUUCGGGUUGUAAACCUCUUUCAGCGCUGACGAAGCCUCUUGGGGUGACGGUAGGCGCAGAAGAAGCACCGGCUAACUACGUGCCAGCAGCCGCGGUAAU
RNAcentral lists this ribosomal RNA (178 nucleotides) under uncultured bacterium. RNAcentral's name for it is "partial 16S rRNA". It matches the Rfam family "Bacterial small subunit ribosomal RNA", at positions 338 to 524 of the family's 1533-position model. The record is from RNAcentral.